GUGUGGUGAGUCAGAGCUGAACUAUUAAGCCGUAACACAUGGCUGACAUCUGGAACUCACCCGCAAGAUUUUGUCAUUUGAAUAUUGGAAGCCUCAGCUUGUUACUCUCUUCCCUCCAGGAUGUAGCCACACUUUCUGCAUCCAGAGCUCAUAAAAACAGAGAAUUAUAAAAUGGACAAGAGGACCCACCAUUGUGUGUUUUGCAGCAGGGACUCACUAUGAGGUCCCAAGCACUGCCUCUUGGAGCUCCUGGGGCGUCUCCAGGCUGUUUGCAAGCAGCUCACAUUCUUCCUGUUCCUGCACAGUGGUUACAGUGGGAUGGAAUGGGCUGCAUGGGAACACUCACUACACGGAGUUGCAAAGGUUUUGGUGAGCACAAGACAUGCACUCAUUGCACACUGAGGUGGGAGCUGUUUUAAAAAAAUGAUACCAGCCAGGCUGGCUGCCCCUGUGCAGCCCUGCUCAGGUGUCAGGUUG
Molecule: long non-coding RNA, 477 nt
Filed under: Numida meleagris (helmeted guineafowl)
Lineage: Eukaryota; Metazoa; Chordata; Aves; Galliformes; Numididae
Description: lncRNA (ENSNMEG00000007687.1)
Source: RNAcentral